AUGCAAGUCGAGCGAUGAAGUCCCUUCGGGGAUGAAUUAGCGGCGAACGGCUGAGGAACACGUGAGAAAUCUGCCUUCAACACUGGGAUAACUCCGGGAAACCGGGGCUAAUACCGGAUAUGAAACUCAGCGGCAUCGCUGGGUUUGGAAAGUUUUUCGGUUGAAGAUGAUCUCGCGGCCUAUCAGCUUGUUGGUGAGGUAAUGGCUCACCAAGGCGACGACGGGUAGCCGGCCUGAGAGGGCGACCGGCCACACUGGGACUGAGACACGGCCCAGACUCCUACGGGAGGCAGCAGUGGGGAAUAUUGGGCAAUGGAGGAAACUCUGACCCAGCGACGCCGCGUGCGGGAUGAAGGCCUUCGGGUUGUAAACCGCUUUCAGCAGGGAAGAAGCGAAAGUGACGGUACCUGCAGAAGAAGCACCGGCUAACUAUGUGCCAGCAGCCGCGGUAAUACAUAGGGUGCAAGCGUUGUCCGGAAUUAUUGGGCGUAAAGAGCUCGUAGGUGGUUCGUCACGUCGGAUGUGAAAAUCUGGGGCUCAACCCCAGACCUGCAUUCGAUACGGGCGAGCUAGAGUUUGGUAGGGGAGACUGGAAUUCCUGGUGUAGCGGUGGAAUGCGCAGAUAUCAGGAGGAACACCAAUGGCGAAGGCAGGUCUCUGGGCCAAUACUGACACUGAGGAGCGAAAGCGCGGGGAGCGAACAGGAUUAGAUACCCUGGUAGUCCGCGCCGUAAACGGUGGGCACUAGUUGUGGGAACCUUCCACGGUUUCUGCGACGCAGCUAACGCAUUAAGUGCCCCGCCUGGGGAGUACGAUCGCAAGAUUAAAACUCAAAGGAAUUGACGGGGCCCCGCACAAGCAGCGGAGCAUGCGGCUUAAUUCGACGCAACGCGAAGAACCUUACCAAGGCUUGACAUAUACAGGAAUAUGGCAGAGAUGUCAUAGCGGGUAAACGUCUGUAUACAGGUGGUGCAUGGGU
RNAcentral lists this ribosomal RNA (979 nucleotides) under uncultured Actinomycetales bacterium. RNAcentral describes it as "bacterial SSU rRNA". It matches the Rfam family "Bacterial small subunit ribosomal RNA", at positions 55 to 1050 of the family's 1533-position model. Lineage: Bacteria; Bacillati; Actinomycetota; Actinomycetes; Actinomycetales. The record is from RNAcentral.